RNAcentral lists this ribosomal RNA (253 nucleotides) under uncultured bacterium. RNAcentral's name for it is "partial 16S ribosomal RNA". It matches the Rfam family "Bacterial small subunit ribosomal RNA", at positions 524 to 776 of the family's 1533-position model. The record is from RNAcentral.
GACGAACCGUGCGAACGUUAUUCGGAUUCACUGGGCUUAAAGGGCGCGUAGGCGGGCUCGCCAGUCGGGGGUGAAAGCCCACGGCUCAACCGUGGAAGUGCCUUUGAUACUGCGAGUCUCGAGGGAGGUAGGGGCGUGCGGAACUUCCGGUGGAGCGGUGAAAUGCGUAGAUAUCGGAAGGAACACCGGUGGCGAAAGCGGCGCGCUGGACCUCUUCUGACGCUGAGGCGCGAAAGCCAGGGGAGCAAACGGG